This 392-nucleotide ribosomal RNA is filed under the name uncultured bacterium. RNAcentral's name for it is "bacterial SSU rRNA". It matches the Rfam family "Bacterial small subunit ribosomal RNA", at positions 29 to 416 of the family's 1533-position model. The record is from RNAcentral.
AUUGAACGCUGGCGGCAUGCCUUACACAUGCAAGUCGAGCGCGAAAGGGGGCAACCCCGAGUAGAGCGGCGGACGGGUGAGUAACACAUCGGAACGUGCCCAGUAGUGGGGGACAACCUCGAGAAAUCGAGGCUAAUACCGCAUACGACCCACGGGUGAAAGCGGGGGACCCAAAGGAAACUGAGGGGCCUCGCGCUAUUGGAGCGGCCGAUGUCCGAUUAGCUAGUUGGCGGGGUAAGAGCCCACCAAGGCGACGAUCGGUAGCUGGUCUGAGAGGACGACCAGCCACACUGGGACUGAGACACGGCCCAGACUCCUACGGGAGGCAGCAGUGAGGAAUUUUGGACAAUGGGGCAACCUGAUCCAGCCAUGCCGCGUGCGGGAAGAAGGCC